UUAAUUGAAGCCAAAAAGAGGCAUAUUACUGUUAAUGAUAUCAUUGAAUUUUAAUUCCAAUUAAA
This 65-nucleotide transfer RNA is filed under the name Harpalus sinicus. Its description in RNAcentral is "tRNA-Asn". RNAcentral also lists the same sequence under 3 other names. The record is from RNAcentral. Lineage: Eukaryota; Metazoa; Arthropoda; Insecta; Coleoptera; Carabidae.